This is a long non-coding RNA of Dromiciops gliroides (monito del monte), 1842 nucleotides long. RefSeq lists it as uncharacterized. The transcript has 3 exons. NCBI's taxonomy places the organism in Eukaryota, Metazoa, Chordata, Mammalia, Microbiotheria, Microbiotheriidae. The record is from RefSeq and is a predicted model, not a curated record.
GCUUCCGCCGGAAAUGUUUUCCCCAGUCUGUGGCUGCGCGCGGUCUCUUGUGGUCUCUUCGUUCUCGGGGCGCCUUCCGUUUGUUCUUUGUUGGCUCUUGUAGGGAGAGCCAGGCAGGCGGUGAACGCGAGCGGGGUUGGAGGGAGAGGAGGAGGUCAGGGGCUGGAAGCUGGGGUCGAGCGGGGGUGGCCUGGCCUCUGUCUCGGUGUUUGCUGGGAGGGAGGGAGACAGUCGGGCGCCCUCCCAGGGACACUGCGCCAUUCCCUUGUGGCUCGUGGCGACCCUAUACCCCAUACACCUAUGAUGGGCCCAUCCGCUCUUCUAGAAUCAGAGCUCCAACCCAGCCUUAUUCUACCGGUGGAAAAACAGGCCCAGCAGACAUUGACUUGACCAAGGUCAUGGAGGGAGUAAAUAGCAGAACUGGGAUUUGAACCCAUGUUCUCCCACUCAAAAUCCGGUGGUAACACCGUACGGCAUAGACGGAGAUCUACUGUUGGCUAGGCACUCUGCUAAAUGCUGGGGAUACAAAAGCCAGAACUGCCUGCCCUCAUGGAGCUCACGUUCUAAUAACACGUAAUGAGCUGUGUGCAUACAACAUACAGACCGAGUGGAUGGAAGGACUUUUCACUUAGGACUAACAGAGGAAAUGCUGACUGUCUCCCGGCUUCUUCUCAGAUAAUGAAUUCAUCUGCUGAUUUCAUGUAGUGAAUUCAUUCAGCAGCUAUUAAUUGAAGUGAAGCUCAUGUAAAGGUGACUGGGUGUGUCCUCUUUAUGAAAACCAGCUAUGUGAACAACCACUGUAUUGAAAGAGUGCAGGUGUUUAAUGCUUGCAAAAACAGGUUUGCUUUUAGACCAGGCUUAUUUUUUAAUGUUUGGUAGAAAGCAUAUACAGAAUGGUAAUAUGCCUUACUGAUGAAGAAAAGCAAGGUAACUUGAAUCAUCCUACUUUUUUUUUCUUUUGAGUCUCAUUACUUUAAGACAAAUAAAAUUUUAUUUAAAAUCUUAGUGCUUGGGUUUUUCUAUUUUAUGAAGUCAGAGAAUUUUGAGCAGUGUCAAGGAAUACCAUACUUAUAUUUCCUUAACAUUUUUUGUUCUUGAAGUAAACCCUACCAAAUUCAUUGGAUAGGUUGUUAAUUCAUGCAGAACACAAGAUUAGAAGCUAUACUUCUCCAGUAGAUGGGACUUUUCAAAACGUAAAACUGCUUUAUUCUUUUUGUCAUAUUUAAUGGGUGCUAAAAAUGAUGGGAAAUCUUAAGUGACAUAUAUUUUGAGUGUGAUAAAGAUGAGAUUAGAGCAUAGACAAGUUGAAAUGCAUGGCAUUAAUUUGGUUACUGUAUGAACGUUCUGGUCUCAUUAAUGCAAAACAGUUUUAUAACUAAUAUACAUGCAGAGCUUACAGGUUGACUGCCAAGUUUUAAAUUUACCCUUGGAAAAGGAAAUGUGCUAAGCAGAAAUUAAGCCAGUUAGGUUACUGACAGUUGAGCACCCAAGUGGUGGUGAUUUCCAAGCAGUCAUUCCCUGUUCUGGAGAGACAGGCAACAUUCAGCCUUUCAUGACUGAAUAAUUGUUUGACUGAUUUAUAUGCUCUGUUAUUAAGUAUCAGCCUUCCUUGUGCCAGAAAUUCCCAUCUCAACUCUUGGUUCCCCAUUACUGACUUGAAAAGAACUACACUCAGCCCUCACAUGAGAGGACACCAUCUGCAAAAUGUCCCUGUCAAAUCUGACUACAGGCACUCCCUUUAGGCAAUACGUUGUUUCUUUGUUGUUAUCGUUGAGUCUUUUUCAUUCUGACUCUGUGACCCCAUUGAAGGCUUUCUUGGCAGAGAUACUGGAGUGGUUUUCC